Molecule: long non-coding RNA, 816 nt
Organism: Gadus morhua (Atlantic cod)
Lineage: Eukaryota; Metazoa; Chordata; Actinopteri; Gadiformes; Gadidae
Exons: 4
Source: RefSeq, a predicted model, not a curated record
CAGAGAGAAAACCAAGACUGAAUUGCCGUGGAAACAAGAUGUAGUUGUGUUUGUGUCCAGGUCUCCCCAGUCUACUAUGGAUGAGGAGAGAGAGGAGGGGGCUCCUACCUCUUAAACCACUCUGUCUGGGAAACAUGGCCGCCAGAGCAAAGCUAAGAGCCCAGAGCAGCGGGAGAGAGCAGACUCCCCUGGACCCAGCUGUGUCUCCUUGAAGAGUGACCGCUCUAUGGAUUAUCCUUCUAACUUUAGAGAUGGAAAUCAAUCAAUUGAGAAGAGAAGAGUCCAGAAGGAGAGAGCGGACUCCCCUGGACCCAGCUGUGUCUCCUUGAAGAGCGACCGGUCUAUGGAUCGUCCUCCUGGACUUAAAGAUGGACGCCCCUCCAGAGAGGAGAGGCGACCACAGGAGAGGUCAAAGGUUACCAGUGCUCAGUCUGUACAGCAGAAUCAAGCAGAGCUGAUCAAGGUGUGUAAAUGAAACAAGACAUUUGACUUCAGCUCUAAACGGGGGCGCAGUAAAGGGAGGGGGGGGGAAUUCAUCAUGAUCAAGUUAAUAUAUUUCGAGUGAAAAUGUUAUUGAUUAAAACAUAGCAAUUUAAACAAACAAGUGGUUCGUUCCUCCAUGUUUAGCUAAAUGUUCAGUAUAGUCUAUAUAUUCCAGAAGGAGAGAGCGGACUCCCCUGGACCCAGCUGUGUCUCCAACUGGUCUAUGGAUCAUCCUCCUAAUCUUAAAGAUGGACGCCCCUCCAGAGAGGAGAGGUAGGAGUUUCCAACAAACUAGUACCGUAGUUUUACUAACUGAUAUUCACAAUUCAGGAA